Molecule: ribosomal RNA, 429 nt
Filed under: Bacillota bacterium
Lineage: Bacteria; Bacillati; Bacillota
Description: Firmicutes bacterium partial 16S ribosomal RNA
Rfam family: Bacterial small subunit ribosomal RNA
Source: RNAcentral
UAGGGAAUCUUCGGCAAUGGACGGAAGUCUGACCGAGCAACGCCGCGUGAGUGAAGAAGGUUUUCGGAUCGUAAAGCUCUGUUGUUAGAGAAGAACGUUGGUAGGAGUGGAAAAUCUACCAAGUGACGGUAACUAACCAGAAAGGGACGGCUAACUACGUGCCAGCAGCCGCGGUAAUACGUAGGUCCCGAUCGUUGUUCGGAUUUAUUGGGCGUCAAGCGAGCGCAGGCGGUUCUUUAAGUCUGAAGUUAAAGGCAGUGGCUUAACCAUUGUACGCUUUGGAAACUGGAGGACUUGAGUGCAGAAGGGGAGAGUGGAAUUCCAUGUGUGACGGUGAAAUGCGUAGAUAUAUGGAGGAACACCGGUGGCGAAAGCGGCUCUCUGGUCUGUAACUGACGAUGAGGCUCGAAAGCGUGGGGAGCAAACAGG